Molecule: microRNA precursor, 203 nt
Filed under: Oryza sativa Japonica Group (Japanese rice)
Lineage: Eukaryota; Viridiplantae; Streptophyta; Magnoliopsida; Poales; Poaceae
Description: MIR812 microRNA precursor family
Rfam family: MIR812 microRNA precursor family
Source: Rfam by way of RNAcentral
AAAGAGACAAACCCUAAGCCGUGUCCAACGUUUGACCGUCCAUCUUAUUUGAAAAAAUAUAAAAAAAAUUAAAAAGACAAGUCACGCAUAAAGUAUUAAUCAUGUUUUAUCAUCUUGCAACAAUGAAAAUACCAAUUAUAAAAAAAUUUUAUAUAAGACGGACAGUCAAACGUUGGACACGGAAGCCCAAGGUUUGCUUUUUU